Molecule: ribosomal RNA, 509 nt
Filed under: uncultured bacterium
Lineage: Bacteria
Description: partial 16S ribosomal RNA
Rfam family: Bacterial small subunit ribosomal RNA
Source: RNAcentral
GACGAACGCUGGCGGCGUGCUUAACACAUGCAAGUCGAACGAAGAGCGAUGGAAGCUUGCUUCUAUCAAUCUUAGUGGCGAACGGGUGAGUAACGCGUAAUCAACCUGCCCUUCAGAGGGGGACAACAGUUGGAAACGACUGCUAAUACCGCAUACGAUCUAAUCUCGGCAUCGAGGAUAGAUGAAAGGUGGCCUCUACAUGUAAGCUAUCACUGAAGGAGGGGAUUGCGUCUGAUUAGCUAGUUGGAGGGGUAACGGCCCACCAAGGCGAUGAUCAGUAGCCGGGGUGGAGGGAGGAAAGGCCACAUGGGAAGUGAAAAAGGGCCCAGACUCCUAGGGGGGGGCGCGGUGGGGAAUCUCCCGCAAGGGAGGAAAGUAUGACGGAGCAACCCCGAGGGGGGGAGGGCGGCCUUGGGGUUGGAAAGCUGUGUUAUGCGGGGCGAAAGGCCUUUUGGGGAAUAGGGGGAAGGAUGGACGGAACGGAAAAAGAAAGCCCGGCCAAACUCCGU